UACGAAGGGGGCUAGCGUUGUUCGGAUUUACUGGGCGUAAAGCGCACGUAGGCGGGUCGUUAAGUCAGGGGUGAAAUCCCGGAGCUCAACUCCGGAACUGCAUUCGAUACUGCCGUGCUUGAGGACUGGAGAGGAGACUGGAAUUUACGGUGUAGCGGUGAAAUGCGUAGAUAUCGUAAGGAAGACCAGUGGCGAAGGCGGGUCUCUGGACAGUUCCUGACGCUGAGGCACGAAGGUCAGGGGAGCAAACGGG
This 253-nucleotide ribosomal RNA is filed under the name uncultured bacterium. RNAcentral describes it as "partial 16S ribosomal RNA". It matches the Rfam family "Bacterial small subunit ribosomal RNA", at positions 524 to 776 of the family's 1533-position model. The record is from RNAcentral.